RNAcentral lists this ribosomal RNA (175 nucleotides) under uncultured bacterium. RNAcentral's name for it is "partial 16S ribosomal RNA". It matches the Rfam family "Bacterial small subunit ribosomal RNA", at positions 335 to 526 of the family's 1533-position model. The record is from RNAcentral.
ACUCUUACGGGAGGCAGCAGUGGGGAAUAUUGGACAAUGGGGGAAAGCCUGAUGCAGCAACGCCGUGUAAGUGAUGAAGGCGUUCAGGGUCGUAAAGCUCUUUGAUCAGGGACGAUAAUGACGGUACCUGAAAAACAAGCCACGGCUAACUACGUGCCAGCAGCCGCGGUAAUAC